Bos taurus (domestic cattle) is the source of this 72-nucleotide non-coding RNA. NCBI's taxonomy places the organism in Eukaryota, Metazoa, Chordata, Mammalia, Artiodactyla, Bovidae. The record is from Rfam.
UCCCUGGUGGCUCAGAUGGUAAAGAAUCUGCCUGCAAUGCAGGAGACCUGGGUUCGAUCCCUGGGUUGGGAA